CGCGUCGGCGAGGAGUCGAACAAAGAAAUGAGCUAGCCCUUCUAUUUAUCCCUGAAAAAAUAUAUAUUUACCACAUAAUUACGAAAUUUUGACCUCCGCGAGUCACUGAAUGUUUUGGCAAGCAAGAGGGGUGUGUCACUGCUUCAAGGGAGCGUAUACCAAGAAAACCAGUUUGCGCCUAUCCUCAUUUCUUUUUCGUACCGUAUGUUUGUAAUUUCAGCGGAAGAUAUCUAUGUUGCAUAAACGUGUGUAAAAGAUUUUAAAAUAAUUUAUUUGGUAAUAAUAUGUUGAAGAAUGGUUUAUACUUGUGUUCCUGAUUUAGAAAAAUUAAUCUCAAUACUGAAAAUGUCCACUUCUUUCCGUCUCCGAAUCGAAUUUGAUGUGCAAAAAAGUGGUUAUAUGCCGUUUAUUAGCAGAAUUUCAGCCCAUCAAAACAUUCUAAUGUUAUGAGGAAAAUUAUUGAAUGUUGUAUAGUUAUUAAAUCCACCACAGAUACCAACAUUGACUAUUGGAGGUACUGGAUUCGCCAGGAUGCGCAAGUGGAUGACCAGUCGCCAAUGACAGAGGUUUUAAAUAAAAGAAGAGAAAAGAGAUAAUGGCAGAAGGAGUGGAAAUGGCUGGAGAGGGCCAUGGAAGGGAUCUCAAUCACCGGGGAGAAGGGAGCGAGAAAAAAACAGAUAAAGCUGGGACCUCUGGAGUGACCUCCAAACUGGUGAAGAGCUUUUCAAGCAGUGAAGAUUCUCAUAAGAGAGAAUGCAUUGCUGAUGACAACUCGGAAAGGGCCCUAAAGAAAUGACGGCUUUAUAGUCAAGCUGUGAGGAAGGCAAUUACUCUGUGGGUCGUUUGCAAGGAUGACUCCAGAGACAUAAUGUCGUCGGAUUCGGAUUUCAUCACUUCUGUGAUUGAUGACCAAAUUAUCUACGGCUCCAUUACUACCUGUAGGGUCCACAAGACAGUCUGGUGCUGGGAGUGGAACAUGAGCUCAUGGAUUACCUGGAGGUCCAGAAUUUCAAACUUUUUUGUGGUGCCCGUUUCUCUGUACAGCUGAAGGAACCAAGACCACAGGGAAAAUCAAUUCUUCUGCCCAAGGAUCCUCUGAGGAAACAGUUGAUGGAAGGAGCGGAGACCGAAAAGGAGUCAGAACCAGAGCCUUCUUUGGAGGCUCUGGGGAAGAUCUCUGAGUAGGUUUCCUCUGUCACGACUUCAAGAAUAACACCAGAAUCUGAAACCGGAAAUCUUUACAUGAGGCGAAAUCGGCAAACCUCGAUGCUGUCUUGUACGAGUAGUUCCAGCAGUGGCGGAGUGAUGGGGUACCUAUUUCAGGAUUACUCCUGAGAGAAAAGGAGAAGCAAAUUCAUGCUGAUUUAAAAAUAGAGGAGACUAAUGCUAGUCUUCCUGGAGCUAAAUGUGGGAUUAUCCUCAAGGCUGAUGCUAAACUUUCUGCCACUAGGUACAGCAGCUACCUUUUCUGAAUUUUGCUGUGCUUUAUGGUCACACCAAUUACAUUGAUGCUAAUGCUGUACUUGCAUUCAGACAUAUGAAUUGGAAUUAUGUUUGAUGUUUCAUAGACUGAAGAAUGGUGACUCAUCAAACACAGGAAAAAACUCAAAUUCCAGCUUGCUACAGCAGAGCACACCUCAAAAGAACAUCCAUGCAUCUGUAACUCUAGUAACUACCAACUGAAGCUUCAAGUGAAUGCUAAGAAAACUAACUAAUUGCAUUUGCAUGCUGCUCAGCUCAGUGAAUAAAAACACAAUUUAUAUAAUAUAAAA
RNAcentral lists this long non-coding RNA (1772 nucleotides) under Stegodyphus dumicola. Its description in RNAcentral is "uncharacterized LOC118181997, transcript variant X1". The record is from RNAcentral. Lineage: Eukaryota; Metazoa; Arthropoda; Arachnida; Araneae; Eresidae.